UGAUAAUUAGUUUAAGCCAAAAAUAGUGAUUUCGACUCACUAGAUUAUGUAUUAGCAUAAUUAUCAAC
This 68-nucleotide transfer RNA is filed under the name Dremomys pyrrhomerus (red-hipped squirrel). RNAcentral describes it as "tRNA-Arg". Lineage: Eukaryota; Metazoa; Chordata; Mammalia; Rodentia; Sciuridae. The record is from RNAcentral.